UUUAAAGCUAUAACCACCAAAUUUUUUGGAUACAAUAAGAAUAGCAGUACCUACUAUUGUUAUAAUCUUAUAACCAAGAAAAUAAUCAUGAGCCAUGAUGUUUUGUGUUGUAUUACAUAAAAACUAAUCUAAGAAAGUAAUAUGCAUUUGAUUGUAGAAGGAUUUGAACUUACCUUGAAAGUUGAUUUAUUAUCCAAAAUAAGAUAUAAGGUAUUUAGAAACAUCCUUUGGCAUUGUUGAAUAAUCUAAGUAAGCUUAUAAUUAUUUAAAGUAUAUCUUUUAAAUUUUAAAUAAACUUAAAUUUUUUUU
This 309-nucleotide long non-coding RNA is filed under the name Physcomitrium patens. RNAcentral describes it as "long non-coding RNA (PPAT_LNC012853)". Lineage: Eukaryota; Viridiplantae; Streptophyta; Bryopsida; Funariales; Funariaceae. The record is from RNAcentral.